CAAUAGCGUAUAUUAAAGUUGUUGCGGUUAAAAAGCUCGUAGUUGGAUUUCUGCCGAGGACGACCGGUCCGCCCUCUGGGUGUGUAUCUGGUUUGGCCUGGGCAUCUUCUUGGAGAACGUAGCUGCACUUGACUGUGUGGUGCGGUGUCCAGGACUUUUACUUUGAGGAAAUUAGAGUGUUUCAAGCAGGCACACGCCUUGAAUACAUUAGCAUGGAAUAAUAAGAUAGGACCUCGGUUCUAUUUUGUUGGUUUCUAGAGCUGAGGUAAUGAUUAAUAGGGAUAGUUGGGGGCAUUCGUAUUUAACUGUCAGAGGUGAAAUUCUUGGAUUUGUUAAAGACGAACUACUGCGAAAGCAUUUGCCAAGGAUGUUUUCAUUGA
Molecule: ribosomal RNA, 380 nt
Filed under: uncultured eukaryote
Lineage: Eukaryota
Description: partial 18S ribosomal RNA
Rfam family: Eukaryotic small subunit ribosomal RNA
Source: RNAcentral